Molecule: small RNA, 197 nt
Filed under: Arabidopsis thaliana (thale cress)
Lineage: Eukaryota; Viridiplantae; Streptophyta; Magnoliopsida; Brassicales; Brassicaceae
Description: ATSL212410
Source: RNAcentral
UAACAACUAGAUUUAUUAUAUUCUCGAUAUUGUACAACUAUGACAAAAAAUGUGCAACCGAAUACAACUGUACAACUAUGGGCAAUAUAUUUUUCAGAUAUUUAUAGAUAUUUUUUAGAUAUUUGUAGAUAUUUUAUAAUAAAAAUUAGCUUUAUUCUUUUGUGAUAAAAAUAUUUAUUUAUUUUUUGUCAUCAAAA